GACGAACGCUGGCGGCGUGCUUAACACAUGCAAGUCGAACGGAAAGGCCCUGCUUUUGUGGGGUGCUCGAGUGGCGAACGGGUGAGUAACACGUGAGUAACCUGCCCUUGACUUUGGGAUAACUUCAGGAAACUGGGGCUAAUACCGGAUAGGAGCUCCUGCUGCAUGGUGGGGGUUGGAAAGUUUCGGCGGUUGGGGAUGGACUCGCGGCUUAUCAGCUUGUUGGUGGGGUAGUGGCUUACCAAGGCUUUGACGGGUAGCCGGCCUGAGAGGGUGACCGGCCACAUUGGGACUGAGAUACGGCCCAGACUCCUACGGGAGGCAGCAGUGGGGAAUAUUGCACAAUGGGCGGAAGCCUGAUGCAGCAACGCCGCGUGCGGGAUGACGGCCUUCGGGUUGUAAACCGCUUUCGCCUGUGACGAAGCGUGAGUGACGGUAAUGGGUAAAGAAGCACCGGCUAACUACGUGCCAGCAGCCGCGGUGAUACGUAGGGUGCGAGCGUUGUCCGGAUUUAUUGGGCGUAAAGGGCUCGUAGGUGGUUGAUCGCGUCGGAAGUGUAAUCUUGGGGCUUAACCCUGAGCGUGCUUUCGAUACGGGUUGACUUGAGGAAGGUAGGGGAGAAUGGAAUUCCUGGUGGAGCGGUGGAAUGCGCAGAUAUCAGGAGGAACACCAGUGGCGAAGGCGGUUCUCUGGGCCUUUCCUGACGCUGAGGAGCGAAAGCGUGGGGAGCGAACAGGCUUAGAUACCCUGGUAGUCCACGCUGUAAACGGUGGGUACUAGGUGUGGGGUCCAUUCCACGGGUUCCGUGCCGUAGCUAACGCUUUAAGUACCCCGCCUGGGGAGUACGGCCGCAAGGCUAAAACUCAAAGGAAUUGACGGGGCCCCGCACAAGCGGCGGAGCAUGCGGAUUAAUUCGAUGCAACGCGUAGAACCUUACCUGGGUUUGACAUGGAUCGGGAGUGCUCAGAGAUGGGUGUGCCUCUUUUGGGGUCGGUUCACAGGUGGUGCAUGGCUGUCGUCAGCUCGUGUCGUGAGAUGUUGGGUUAAGUCCCGCAACGAGCGCAACCCUUGUUCACUGUUGCCAGCACGUUAUGGUGGGGACUCAGUGGAGACCGCCGGGGUCAACUCGGAGGAAGGUGGGGGUGACGUCAAGUCAUCAUGCCCCUUAUGUCCAGGGCUUCACGCAUGCUACAAUGGCUGGUACAGAGAGUGGCGAGCCUGUGAGGGUGAGCGAAUCUCGGAAAGCCGGUCUCAGUUCGGAUUGGGGUCUGCAACUUGACCUCAUGAAGUCGGAGUCGCUAGUAAUCGCAGAUCAGCAACGCUGCGGUGAAUACGUUCCCGGGGCU
This 1346-nucleotide ribosomal RNA is filed under the name uncultured bacterium. RNAcentral's name for it is "partial 16S ribosomal RNA". It matches the Rfam family "Bacterial small subunit ribosomal RNA", at positions 28 to 1381 of the family's 1533-position model. The record is from RNAcentral.